This 2037-nucleotide long non-coding RNA is filed under the name Erythranthe guttata (spotted monkey flower). Its description in RNAcentral is "long non-coding RNA (EGUT_LNC002807)". The record is from RNAcentral. Lineage: Eukaryota; Viridiplantae; Streptophyta; Magnoliopsida; Lamiales; Phrymaceae.
GUCCUCAACACACCGAGACUUACAUCGUCGGCGAUUUUGGUUCUAGGGUUUGGGGUUUCUACUUUUUCUUUAACCACCGGCCAUGACACACAACUCCUGUUAAAAAUUUCCAUCGAUGAACAACAGAAGCGGCUGUGAUAAUUUAAGGUAAUUGUUUAAUUACAAUUCCCUUAUUCUUUAUAUUCAAGCUUUAAUUUCUCUGUAAUGCAUUACUUUUUCUAUACCAAGAAAUCUGAGAAUUAGGUUUACAAUUUUCAUGAUUAUUUUGUUUAUUGGAAUGUUAUGAAGUUAUAGAUUGGAAAAAAUAUUUUGGAGCCCUUAACUCCUUAAGCAUUGACGUAUUGAAGAAGUAUUGAAGGGUGUAAUUUAGUGCUUAAGUUUGAUUAACUAGAAAAAAUAGAUCUGAUUCCUGGAAUUCUUCAAUUAUUUAUAUCUAAGAGAUAUGUUAGCAUUAUUUCUCUUUCUUAGUUGUUCUUAUUGUUUCUUUUCAGAUUUUUGCUCUGAAUUGUUAUUUCCGUAUGUUAAUACUUGCCAAGUCAUUUGCAUUGAAGAAUGAGGUGCAAGGAAUGUAUGGGUGAGAAAUUGGUACUUUUUAAUUUUCCAUCAUUUAUUAUUUGAGAUUACAUUCCAGUAGACUUCUCUCACUGUUGGUUAAACUUUGUUGACUCCUCUCACUAGACUAGAUGGUUCUAUUUACAGAACGAGCAAAAGUUAUGCCUUUUUGGUUUUGCUUUAGUGUUUUGAUAUGUCUUUUGUCAUAGAAAAUGCCAAAUCUAUAUCAAGUUGCUUCUAUUUAUUUGCCUAGCUUGUGUUGACCAAUGUUUUAUUUCUGGGCAAGAAUGAACAUCACCUUUUGCCAUAAGAAAUAUUUGUCUAUGUUUAUGCCUGUGGUUUUUUAUAGGUGAUUGUAUGUAUCUUUUUUUUUUCAUAAGAACGCAUGGAGAUCUGGUAAUAUUGAAGAUCAUACUACAAACUUAUAAACAAUCUCUUGAUAAGAAUGAUGAGUAUUUUGUUCGUGACAACAAAUAAUAUUGGAUAUAGUCGAUGAUGAAGAUUUAAACCUAAGGUACGUGUUAUUUCAGCGAUAAGCAUCCAUCAUAUUAAUGAAUAUAAGGCCUCGUUAAAUGACAGCAAAUUCUAUUUAUGUUUGAGACCAUUUUGGCAUACCAAAUGGUAAUUUAUUAUUAUGUUACGAUAUGUUAAUCAAGUUGAAAUUGUUUCUCUUAUUGAGUUUUAUAAGAAUAUAACGGCGGUGGGGCUCUCCAAGUUCAAUCCCUUUCAUCAUUUGUAUAUAUAAGUAUAACCACUGGAUUUUGAUGCAUUCUUCAACAAGGUGAGAUCAUAGCAUUUGUAUAUAUUUUUCUCGUCUGUUUUGAAGCUCAGUCUAACUUCUUUUGCACAAAUAGUAGUUAGUUAAAGGAAACGUUAAUUGCUUGGUAUAAAUUAAACCCACUGAUGCUAUUUGAUUUUAAUUCGAGUUUGGUUCUGCUUUAUAUGAUUGAUAUUUUGUUUUAUUUUAACUUAAUCAAUAAUCUAUUACUGUCUUUGAACCGCCUCACUGAAUUUGAAUGAGUUGAAGGUCAAAUUGUUGGUUAGUCAAUAUGUAUCCAUUGAAAUGUCUGACGAGAUGAUAUUAAUAUUGUUUGGUUUAGUGUUCUCAGAAUUGAGCGUUUUAAUUUCUUAUUUCCCUAACUUUCUCUAUAUAACUAAAUUCAGCUCAAAAUGCUUCAAGUACCACAAUUACUUGGGGAGCAGUUUGUUGAUGGAUUACGGAAGGAUGUUUGACCGCGUCAACUUCUAGAUGGUGAUAUUAUUAACAGUUUGAUGGAUAGAGAGUAUUUGAUACUCUGGUCAGACCUGCAGGAAAUAUUUUCUUUGAGUCGAGUUAGUACAUUAUUAAGUUUAUGUACUCCAUUUUAAUUAGGUAAAUCUUAAGGAUUUGGAUUUAAUAUGUAUGAAUGGUGGUGGAUGAUUUAUUGUAAUGAUGGAUUGUACGGGAACCUUUAUUGUAAUUUCAGUCAAUUGUAAUAUAUGGAU